Clostridiales bacterium GWB2_37_7 is the source of this 82-nucleotide non-coding RNA. The record is from Rfam. NCBI's taxonomy places the organism in Bacteria, Bacillati, Bacillota, Clostridia, Eubacteriales.
AUACAAUGGGGGGAUGCAAGGGGGAGAAUCCCCAUGCCGUUAAAGGAGGGUGCUCAGGAUGCUUGCAUCCGUCGAAGGGAAC